GUGGGGAAUCUUGCGCAAUGGGCGAAAGCCUGACGCAGCCAUGCCGCGUGAAUGAUGAAGGUCUUAGGAUUGUAAAAUUCUUUCACCGGGGACGAUAAUGACGGUACCCGGAGAAGAAGCUCCGGCUAACUUCGUGCCAGCAGCCGCGGUAAUACGAAGGGGGCUAGCGUUGCUCGGAAUUACUGGGCGUAAAGGGCGCGUAGGCGGACAGCUUAGUCAGAGGUGAAAGCCCAGGGCUCAACCUUGGAAUUGCCUUUGAUACUGGCUGUCUUGAGUUUGGGAGAGGUGAGUGGAACUCCGGGUGUAGAGGUGAAAUUCGUAGAUAUUCGGAAGAACACCAGUGGCGAAGGCGACUCACUGGUCCAAUACUGACGCUGAGGCGCGAAAGCGUGGGGAGCAAACAGGAUUAGAAACCCGGGUAGUCC
RNAcentral lists this ribosomal RNA (425 nucleotides) under uncultured bacterium. Its description in RNAcentral is "partial 16S ribosomal RNA". It matches the Rfam family "Bacterial small subunit ribosomal RNA", at positions 354 to 796 of the family's 1533-position model. The record is from RNAcentral.